GCCAGACUCCUACGGGAGGCAGCAGUGAGGAAUAUUGGUCAAUGGACGAGAGUCUGAACCAGCCAAGUAGCGUGAAGGAUGACUGCCCUAUGGGUUGUAAACUUCUUUUAUAUGGGAAUAAAAUGUUCCACGUGUGGGAUUUUGUAUGUACCAUAUGAAUAAGGAUCGGCUAACUCCGCGCCAGCAGCCGCGGUAAUACGGAGGAUGCGAGCGUUAUCCGGAUUUAUUGGGUUUAAAGGGUGCGCAGGCGGCGUGUCAAGCAAGCGGUAAAAUAGCGGGGCUCAACCCCGUCGAGCCGUUUGAACUGGCGCGCUUGAGUUCAGGCGAGGUAGGCGGAAUUCGUGGUGUAGCGGUGAAAUGCAUAGAUAUCACGCAGAACUCCGAUUGCGAAGGCAGCGCACCGGCGCCCUACUGACGCUCAGGCACGAAAGCGUGGGUAUCGAACAGGAUUAGAUACCCCUGUA
This 464-nucleotide ribosomal RNA is filed under the name uncultured bacterium. RNAcentral describes it as "bacterial SSU rRNA". It matches the Rfam family "Bacterial small subunit ribosomal RNA", at positions 330 to 792 of the family's 1533-position model. The record is from RNAcentral.